Helicoverpa zea (corn earworm) is the source of this 478-nucleotide long non-coding RNA. RefSeq lists it as uncharacterized. The record is from RefSeq and is a predicted model, not a curated record. NCBI's taxonomy places the organism in Eukaryota, Metazoa, Arthropoda, Insecta, Lepidoptera, Noctuidae. The transcript has 2 exons.
AGUUAUUUACACUAUUAAACAACUUUAAUUAUUUAAUAAUUAUUAAUAGUUAGGUAUAUAUAUGAUAUUGUUCACUUAUAUUUCAAUCGGCGUCCUUAGAGGUCGUGUCUUAGUAAAUAAACUAUUAAUUAAUAUAUCUAUAUUAACAUGAAGCUAUUGUUUAUAAUAACGUUUUUCUUGCUCGCGCUGACGCUUGUCCCAGCCCGGAGGCAAUACUAUCCUAGAAAUGGUAUAACUGGUUUCGGGAACGCAGUGCUACCAGGAUAUCACAUGAUUUCGAUAUACAACGUAAAUAAGCCUAGACCUAGACCGAAGGGAAGGAGGUUUAUGUACUGAAAAAAAAAGAUUAAAAUAAAAAUAGGUACCUAUUUUUGAACUUAUUGCCGGAAAAGGAGGAGGUAAACAAUAGAUUGUUGUAUUUUGAUGUUAUACCUGUAGUCUAUGUAAUGACAAAUAAAUAAAUGCCUUCUAUGUAUUA